UAGUGACCUAAUACGGUAUAUAUGGGGUCAGUAAAUUCAUAUGGAAUUUAGAAUUUACUGACCCCAUAUAUACCGUAUUAAGUCACUAGUGC
Molecule: small RNA, 92 nt
Filed under: Mytilus galloprovincialis (Mediterranean mussel)
Lineage: Eukaryota; Metazoa; Mollusca; Bivalvia; Mytilida; Mytilidae
Source: RNAcentral